UACGUAUGGUGCGAACGUUGUUCGGAAUCACUGGGCAUAAAGAGCACGUAGGCGGUUAAGCAAGUCCAUUGUGAAAUCCCCCGGCCUAACCGGGGAACUGCAUUGGAUACUACUUGACUUGAGUGCAGGAGGGGAGAGUGGAAUUCCAGAUGGAGCGGUGAAAUGCGUAGAUAUCUGGAGGAACGCCGGCGGCGAAAGCGACUCUCUGGUCUGUAACUGACGCUGAGGUGCGAAAGCUAGGGGAGCAAACGGG
RNAcentral lists this ribosomal RNA (253 nucleotides) under uncultured bacterium. RNAcentral's name for it is "partial 16S ribosomal RNA". It matches the Rfam family "Bacterial small subunit ribosomal RNA", at positions 524 to 776 of the family's 1533-position model. The record is from RNAcentral.